UGUUUUAUCCUUUGGAACAGUACGUCCUGCCUGAAAGAACACUUUAGAACCUAAGAGCUCCAGUACCACCGGCUCCAAGCAACUCCGCGGCACCUGACGGACCUCAGGCGGGCAGCCCCUUAUCCCAGAGAGGACCGGUUUUGAGAAAUCCCCCAGUUGCGGGACGAAAACGGAUCUGGAGAAGUCAAGUUGAACCCCAGCGGCGACAGAGACAACCCAGCAACAGCAGCAGCAGCGGCUCAGAGUCAGAGAGUGCAUAAUUAAGCUACACGCAGGAACAGGAGCCAGUCCAAUAGACAAAGACCAUGCAGACGGUGUUGUCAAAAUUCAUGAGACUACCUUUUUCCUCUUGUCUGAAGCAUACUGGAUUACGAAAGUCAGACGUAGUUCACCGUUGCCCCCGAGGACUCAACCAGUCCAGGUCGAGGAAGAAGUGGCGAAGUUCCGGAUGGAGACCGAGGGGACAGGUUCUGGUUUGGCAGGCUUAGUGGAUUUGAGCUGAACUGGCCAGGCAGCGGACCCGUGGAGAUAGUUGGUUGAACCCGAUUGGCGGCAGGCUCCGGAGGUGAGGUUGGCAGGGCAGACGAAGCAGCUGGCUCGUGUAGCGUGGCAGUGGGUGGAGAGAUAAGCUUGGCAGAGGUUCGAGGACAGACUGUGGCUAAGAUCACAAUCUCCUGAGCGCCUCAACGAAAAAAGAAGAAAGAGAUUCCCUCCUCCUCCUCCAACAGCGUAGUCGAUUACGCCUUAUAUUACCAUGGUACAUUGAAAAGUGUAGAUGACUUGUUAAAAAAUGCCUUCUCGCAAGCAAGAUGUCAAGACGUGAUACAGUUGGAGUUGAGGGGUGAGCAUCUGCAUAGUAACGUCUAAGUUAUCUUACAGGGUGAUGACGAUGUCACAAAUCUGUCUGGUUUUGAAAAACUCCUGCUUUGCAUUGUACAAUCAAACUGGACCUUUAUGUCAGACGGUGAACUAGAAGUGAUUGCACAGGUGGUCCAUAACACUCGUGGUGGCGGUAAAAGAAUGUUGGAAAAAAUGUUAAACAUUAAAUCAUUAUCGUUAAAAAGAAAACGUUUUUUUCUGUACGUCGUACAAAACCCUGAAAAUCAGU
Molecule: long non-coding RNA, 1108 nt
Organism: Siniperca chuatsi (mandarin fish)
Lineage: Eukaryota; Metazoa; Chordata; Actinopteri; Centrarchiformes; Sinipercidae
Exons: 4
Source: RefSeq, a predicted model, not a curated record